AUGCUUGACGCACUUAAUUUCAAACAACCAUUUUGAUCGCUUGUCUUAUUAAAAAUUAUUUUUAUUUUGAUUUGUUUUAUCAUUGCAAGUACUUUAAGUACAACUUAUAUCAGCGCAAAACUUUUUAAGGUUUCAUCCAUGUGGAGCAGUAUGCAGCACUUGUCUCCUCCAGAGAGCAACAAAGGAAGCAUAUAUCUGAUGAGUGGGUCGGCGUGCGUGGUGGGGUUGGGAAUGGGUGGUUUUGGUGUGGUGGGCAUGGCCGAGCAAGCUUGUCAGAGCAUGCACUAUGCAGUAACACGGCGAGUAGCCCCAUCCUUCAAUACCCGAGAUUCUUGUCCAGCUCGGACUCAAGCGCGCCCCAGCGAAGCUCCCCGUCCCCUGCAGAGGGAACGCAUGGCUCGGCAGACUUUCUGCAAAAGCAAUCAAUUUUUUGUCAGAGAAACAACUUUUUUAUUAGAGAAGGGAGAGGCGAGCAAGCUACCUUGCCUCCGCCGGGACGGGCGCCGAGAGCUCGCCGCCG
This 520-nucleotide long non-coding RNA is filed under the name Oryza brachyantha (malo sina). RNAcentral's name for it is "long non-coding RNA (OBRA_LNC002781)". The record is from RNAcentral. Lineage: Eukaryota; Viridiplantae; Streptophyta; Magnoliopsida; Poales; Poaceae.